RNAcentral lists this long non-coding RNA (1177 nucleotides) under Homo sapiens (human). RNAcentral's name for it is "HSALNT0328962". Lineage: Eukaryota; Metazoa; Chordata; Mammalia; Primates; Hominidae. The record is from RNAcentral.
GGGCAGUCCAUCCUUGUUCUUUAGUGGUCCACAGAAUGUUGGACCAACUAUGGCAUGAAAGCUCUGCCUCAGGGGGCAAGACUCCUGGUUGGCACUGGGGCCUUUAUUGAAAUCUCCCUGGAUUAAAUGGCCUUAGUUUACUAAUGCCCAGUCUGAGGAGAGUCAGGAGGGACAGAAGUACUUUUCUGAAGUAGACAGCUGUCUUUGACUUGGCAAGUCCUCACAGGCUAUAACAAGGCAAGCAUUAAAUGCAACAGUUUGAGGCGAAAUUGACUUGGUUAUGUUAAUAACUAGAUGGUCAGCAAUAGAGCGCGAAAAGAAGAACGAGUAAUAGAAUAGAUGAAAAUAGUUAGAUUUUUCUUAGCUUUAGUUUGGUAGAGUUUUCCUCUGGGACUACGGCCUACGAGUCUGGAGGGGGUGGCACUUUCUUGACUCGGAUGUGAAGAGUCCAUCCUUUUUUGCUGUACGAACAGCAGUCUUGGUGGUUAGCAGCGCAAGGUAGGGUCCUUCCCAGGCUGACUGGAGUUUUUCUUCUUUCCACCUUUCGAUGAGAACGUGAUCUUCAGGCUGCUGCUGGUUUACCGGAAAUUCUAAGGACACCGAGUUAAAGAAGGAAGAGGUUUAUCGGCCGGUAGCAUCGGCAGGACUCCUGUCUCAAGAGCCGAGCUCCCCAGCACAAUUUUCACUCCUCUUUUUAACUAAAAACUGUCUCCUGGCUUCAGUUGCAAGGGAUCUUCAUGAGUGCGACACAAAAGAGAGUGGGAGAAAAGCAUGAACUACAGCCCAGAACAGAAUGACUAAUUCCUGGAGGACGAAUUUGCAUUCAGCUUGAAGGCCAAGAGGUGGAGUUUCACUCUUCAUUGGCCAGGCUGGAGUACAAAUGGUGCAAUCUCGGCUCACCGCAACCUCUGCCUCCCAAAUUCAAGUGAUUCUCCUGCCUCAGCCUCCUGAGUAGCUGGGAUUACAGGCACGCACCAUCAUGCCUGGCUCAUUUUUGUAUUUUUAGGAAAGACAGGGUAUCACCAUGGUGGCCAGGCUGGUCUCGAAUUCCUGACCUCAGGUGAUCCACCCGCCUCAGCCUCCCAAAGUGCUAGGAUUAAAGGCAUGAGCCACUGCACCCAGCCUGUUUUCUCAAAUUUAAUUAAUGAUCUUAAAAACAGAAAUAAUAACAACAACU